Molecule: ribosomal RNA, 1320 nt
Filed under: Cerceris sp. SJW-2017
Lineage: Eukaryota; Metazoa; Arthropoda; Insecta; Hymenoptera; Crabronidae
Description: 16S ribosomal RNA
Source: RNAcentral
AAAAUAUUAAUUAAAUUAAAUUUAAAGAGUAAGAAUUAAUAAUUUUAAAAAGAAUUUUAUAUAUUAAUUGUUUUAGUAAAUAUUAUAAAAAUAAUUAUUUAAUUUAUAUAUAAAGUAUUGUAAAAGAAAAUUUAAAUUUUAAUAUAAGUAUAUUUUAAUUAUAAUACCUUUUGUAUCAGGGUUUAUUUAAAUUAAUUAAGUUAUUUUAAGAUCUCGAAAAUAAAUGAGUUAUAUAAAUAUAAUUUUUUAAGUUAAAUUUUAAUUAUAAAUAUUUAUAUAGAAAUGAAAUGUUAUUCGUCUUUAUUGUUAUCUAGUUAUUUAUUAAAUGAAUUUAAUUCAGUUAUUUAAUUUUAUUUUUUUUAAUUAAUAAUUAAAUUAAAUUAAAUAAUAAUAUUUUAUGGGAUAAACUUUAAAAUAAAUUUUAUAAUUAGAAAAAUUAAAAUAAAAAAAUUAAGAAAAAUAUUAAUAAAAUUUAAAUUUUUUAGAUAUAAUGUAAUAAUAAAUUAAUUAAUUAAAAUUGUAAUUUAAUAAAAUAAAUGUAAAAAUUUAAUAAAUAAAUUUUUAAAAUAAUUUAAAUAUUAUAAUAAUGAUUAGAUUAGUAUAAAUUAAUUAUAAAAGUAAUUAUUUUAAAAAUAUUUUUUUAAGGAAUUAGGCAAUUUUAAAUAUAUCCGCCUGUUUAUCAAAAACAUGUCUUUAUGAAUAUAAUUUAAAGUCUAAUCUGCCCAAUGAUAGAUUUAAAUGGCUGCAGUAUUAUGACUGUACAAAGGUAGCAUAAUCAUUUGUCUUUUAAUUUGAGACUGGAAUGAAUGAUUUGACGAGAUAUAUACUGUCUCAAUUAAAUUUAUUGAAAUUGAUUUUUUAGUUAAAAAUCUAAAAUUAAAUUAAAAGACGAUAAGACCCUAUAGAAUUUUAUAUUUUAUUUAAAUGAUUAACAUAAAUUUAUAAAAUAUUAUUUAAAUUAAAUAUUUAAUUGGGAUGAUUUUUAAAUUAAAAUAACUUUAAAUUUUUUUUUACAAUAAUUAAUGUUUUAUAAAUAUAUUUUAAUAAAUAUUAAAAAAUAAAAUUACCUUAGGGAUAACAGCGUAAUAUUUUUAGAGAGAUCUUAUUGAUAAAAAUGUUUGCGACCUCGAUGUUGAAUUAAGAUAAAAGUUAAAUGAAGAAGUUUAAUAUUUAAGUCUGUUCGACUUUUAAAAUCUUACAUGAUUUGAGUUCAGAUCGGUGUGAGCCAGAUCGGAUUCUAUCUUUAAUUAAAUUUAAUAUUAUUGUACGAAAGGACUUUUUAUUAAUAUAAAAUAUUUUAAUAAAAUUAAUAUAAUUUAU